This 1673-nucleotide ribosomal RNA is filed under the name Ptychopera unicornis. RNAcentral describes it as "eukaryotic LSU rRNA". It matches the Rfam family "Eukaryotic large subunit ribosomal RNA", at positions 37 to 1498 of the family's 3401-position model. Lineage: Eukaryota; Metazoa; Platyhelminthes; Rhabdocoela; Trigonostomidae. The record is from RNAcentral.
AGCAUAUCAAUAAGCGGAGGAAAAGAAACUAACUAGGAUUCCCUUAGUAAUGGCGAACGAACAGGGAAGAGCUCAUAACCGAAUCCUGUGGCGUGAUGUCAUUAGGAAAUGUGGUGUAUGGGUGUCAUUAUGCAGUGUCUGUCUUGCUUUAAGUCCACGUGAUUGUGGCUUCUAGCCCAUGGAGGGUGUAAGGCCCGUAGAAGUGGGACGGAUAUUGUUUUACGGCACCCUUGAGUCGGGUUGUUUGGGAUUGCAGCCCAAAGUGGUGGUAAACUCCAUCAAAAGCUAAAUACAACACGAGUCCGAUAGCGAACAAGUACCAUGAGGUAAAGUUGAAAAGAACUUUGAAGAGAGAGUUCAACAGUACGUGAAACCGCUCAGAGGUAAGCGGGUAGAGCUGAAAGUUGCUUGAGAAUUGAUGUUUGCCGGUGUGGGCACGUUUGGUGGAUGACCUUCAUGGGCAUUGCUGGGCGUGUGCUGUUGUACCGGUUGGCUGUAUAUUCCAGGCAUGAAUCACGAUCGGCGAUACAUGUGAGUCUGUCAUUGGCUAGAGGUAGCCUGGAGAUCCUUGUGGUUUCUGGGUUUUUAUAAUGGUCAGUACGGAGCCUGCAUUUCGCUGAGCAUGGCGGUGCCAGUCCUUGUGACGCUCAAGUUGUCGUAUUUUAGUGACAUUUCUUUAUUUCUCUUUAGAGAAAUUUGGGAGUGCGUGCUGAUAUUGCGGUGGCCUCUGAGUUUGGUGCCAAUAAUCGUGAUUUUCCUGUAGGCUUUCUACCCGGCCCGUCUUGAAACACGGACCAAGGAGUCUAACAUGUGCGCGAGUCAUUGGGUUCUACGAAACCUAAAGGCGUAUUGAAAGAGAAGGUUCCCUUCGUUGGAACUGAGGUAUGAUCCGUGCUCCCUCGGGGGCGUGGCGCAAUACCGGCUUGUCUCAUGCUUUUUAAGUGAGGCAACGCAAGAGCGUACAUGAUGGUACCCGAAAGAUGGUGAACUAUGCUUGCAUAGGUUGAAGCCAGAGGAAACUCUGGUGGAAGACCGAAGCGAUUCUGACGUGCAAAUCGAUCGUCAAAUGUGAGUAUAGGGGCGAAAGACUAAUCGAACCAUCUAGUAGCUGGUUCCCUCCGAAGUUUCCCUCAGGAUAGCUGGCAUUCGUUAAACAAACAGUUUUAUCCGGUAAAGCGAAUGAUUAGAAGUAUUGGGGAUGAAAUGUCCUCAACUUAUUCUCAAACUUUAAAUGGGUAAGAUGUCUCACUCUCUUAAAUUAUGGAGUGGUGACAUUGAAUGUGAUUGCCUAGUGGGCCAUUUUUGGUAAGCAGAACUGGCGAUGUGGAAUGAACCAAAAGCGGUGGCUAAGGUGCCUAAGUGAGCGCUCAUGACAUACCACAAAAGGUGUUGGUUGAUAUAGACAGCAGGACGGUGGCCAUGGAAGUUGGAAUCCGCUAAGGAGUGUGUAACAACUCACCUGCCGAAUCAACCAGCCCUGAAAAUGGAUGGCGGUGGAGCGUUCGACCUAUGCCGCGCCGUUACUGCAAGCUUCGUGCAUGGAUGCGGUAACGUGUAGGAGGGUGACAUGGUAAGCGUAGAAGCUUCGGGUGUGAACUCGGGUGGAGCUGCCAUGUGUGCAGAUCUUGGUGGUAGUAGCAAGUAUUCAAGUGAGAUUCUUGAAGACCGACGUG